Molecule: ribosomal RNA, 528 nt
Filed under: uncultured bacterium
Lineage: Bacteria
Description: bacterial SSU rRNA
Rfam family: Bacterial small subunit ribosomal RNA
Source: RNAcentral
GCUGGGUGGAUCAGUGGCGAACGGGUGAGUAACACGUGAGCAAUCUGCCCUUGACUCUGGGAUAAGCGCUGGAAACGGCGUCUAAUACUGGAUAUGAACUGUGGCCGCAUGGUCGGCAGUUGGAAAGAAUUUCGGUCAAGGAUGAGCUCGCGGCCUAUCAGCUUGUUGGUGAGGUAAUGGCUCACCANGGCGUCGACGGGUAGCCGGCCUGAGAGGGUGACCGGCCACACUGGGACUGAGACACGGCCCAGACUCCUACGGGAGGCAGCAGUGGGGAAUAUUGCACAAUGGGCGCAAGCCUGAUGCAGCAACGCCGCGUGAGGGAUGACGGCCUUCGGGUUGUAAACCUCUUUUAGCAGGGAAGAAGCGAAAGUGACGGUACCUGCAGAAAAAGCACCGGCUAACUACGUGCCAGCAGCCGCGGUAAUACGUAGGGUGCAAGCGUUAUCCGGAAUUAUUGGGCGUAAAGAGCUCGUAGGCGGUUUGUCGCGUCUGCUGUGAAAACUGGAGGCUCAACCUCCAGCCUGC